UACGUAGGGGGCUAGCGUUGCUCGGAAUUACUGGGCGUAAAGGGCGCGUAGGCGGUUCUAUAAGUCAGGCGUGAAAUUCCUGGGCUUAACCUGGGGGCUGCGCUUGAGACUGUGGGACUUGAGGUCAGAAGAGGGUCGUGGAAUUCCCAGUGUAGAGGUGAAAUUCGUAGAUAUUGGGAAGAACACCGGUGGCGAAGGCGGCGACCUGGUCUGAUACUGACGCUGAGGCGCGACAGCGUGGGGAGCAAACAGG
Molecule: ribosomal RNA, 253 nt
Filed under: uncultured bacterium
Lineage: Bacteria
Description: partial 16S ribosomal RNA
Rfam family: Bacterial small subunit ribosomal RNA
Source: RNAcentral